UCAGGGUAAACGGAAAAGACCCGAAAUUCCGAAAAGGGAGAUUCACGUCUGCUCGCGCCUCUGCUCGGCACCUGUCGCGUUUGGACGGCCAUUUGUGCCCCCGUUUGUGCGCAAGCUCAAGCGGUCGGGUCUGGUUGCCGACGCGCGGGUUGUCCGAGCCGCGGCGGACCGCACUUCUCCCUUAGUAGGACGUCGCGACCCGCCCGUCCGUGGCCUAAGGCUGGGCAAGACGCCUGACGCUCGCCGUUGGCUUUUAGCCAGCGACUGUGCGUCAGACUGCCCGUGCUUCCCGGCCACGGUUUUUUUACGGACGGUAUCGAAUACCGGUGUCGAGUCGCUUCUUCGCGAGGGGGAGAUAAAACACCCUCUCGUACGGAAGCGCCCUAGGCAGAGGGCAAGGUUUUUCCGAGUCUCUAAAAACGUAAGUUUUGAAGUCAAGACGUUUGUUUUCUGUUCGUCUGGCGGAGCUCGGGCCUGUUGGUUCUCUUGGUCUUUGGGCAGGCUCAUUCCCAUUGCGCGGAGAAAGGCACCAGUCAGCGGCGAUCUAGUUUUGGGCUCUUUUCCGACCCGUCUUGAAACACGGACCAAGGAGUUUAGCGUGCUCGCGAGUCAUUGGGCGUUACAAAACCUAAAGGCGAAAUGAAAGUAAAGAGAGUCCCUUUUUUUGUGGCUCUCGAGGGAGGAUGAGCUACUGCUCUGGUCGUUCCUAACCGGCGGCUGAGCGUGUCUCCGCACUCCCGGGGCGACUCUUUCUCAUUGCGAGUGGAGGCGCACCAAGAGCGAGUACGCUGAAACCCGAAAGAUGGUGAACUAUGCCUGGCCAGGACGAAGCCAGGGGAAACCCUGGUGGAGGUCCGCAGCGAUUCUGACGUGCAAAUCGAUCGUCGGAGCUGGGUAUAGGGGCGAAAGACCAAUCGAACCAUCUAGUAGCUGGUUCCCUCUGAAGUUUCCCUCAGGAUAGCUUGCGCUCGGGUGUGAAGAGUCUCAUCCGGUAGAGCGAAUGAUUAGAGGCCUUGGGGUCGAAACGACCUCAACCUAUUCUCAAACUCCAAAUAGAUGAGAACCCCGGCUUGCUUGAAUGUGUGUGAAGCCGCGGGACUCGGAUCAGA
This 1109-nucleotide ribosomal RNA is filed under the name Lasiacantha darwini. RNAcentral describes it as "partial large subunit ribosomal RNA". It matches the Rfam family "Eukaryotic large subunit ribosomal RNA", at positions 386 to 1118 of the family's 3401-position model. The record is from RNAcentral. Lineage: Eukaryota; Metazoa; Arthropoda; Insecta; Hemiptera; Tingidae.